AGUGAACGCUGGCGGUGGGCCUAACACAUGCAAGUCGAACGGCCGCACGGUAAGCGCUUGCUCUUACGGGUGGCGAGUGGCGGAUGGGUAAGGAAUACAUCGGAAUCUACUUUUUCGUGGGGGAUAACGUAGGGAAACUUACGCUAAUGCCGCAUACGACCUACGGGUGGAAGCAAGGGUUCUUCGGACCUUGCCCGAUUGUAUUAGACGGUGUCGGAUUAGCUAGUUGGCUGGGUAACGGCACACCAAGGCGACGAUCCGUAGCUGGUCUGAGAGGAUGAUCAGCCACACUGGAACUGAGACACGGUCCAGACUCCUACGGGAGGCAGCAGUGGGGAAUAUUGGACAAUGGGCGCAAGCCUGAUCCAGCCACACCGCGUGGGUGAAGAAGGCCUUCGGGUCGUAAAGCCCUGUUGUUGGGAAAGAAAAGAAGCAGGUUAAUCCGCCGAUGUUCUGACGGUACCUAAUGAAUAAGCACCGGCUAACUUCGUG
Molecule: ribosomal RNA, 492 nt
Filed under: uncultured bacterium
Lineage: Bacteria
Description: partial 16S ribosomal RNA
Rfam family: Bacterial small subunit ribosomal RNA
Source: RNAcentral